Molecule: transfer RNA, 75 nt
Filed under: Candidatus Altimarinota bacterium
Lineage: Bacteria; Candidatus Altimarinota
Description: tRNA-Arg
Rfam family: tRNA
About the family: Transfer RNA (tRNA) molecules are approximately 80 nucleotides in length. Their secondary structure includes four short double-helical elements and three loops (D, anti-codon, and T loops). Further hydrogen bonds mediate the characteristic L-shaped molecular structure. tRNAs have two regions of fundamental functional importance: the anti-codon, which is responsible for specific mRNA codon recognition, and the 3' end, to which the tRNAs corresponding amino acid is attached (by aminoacyl-tRNA synthetases). tRNAs cope with the degeneracy of the genetic code in two manners: having more than one tRNA (with a specific anti-codon) for a particular amino acid; and 'wobble' base-pairing, i.e. permitting non-standard base-pairing at the 3rd anti-codon position.
Source: RNAcentral
GCCUGAGUAGCUCAGUGGAAGAGCAGUGGCCUUCUAAGCCAAAGGUCGUAGGUUCGACCCCUGCCUCAGGCACCA